UCCGUAGGUGGAUAGAUAAGUCAGAGGUGAAAUCCUGCAGCUCAACUGUAGAAUUGCCUUUGAUACUGUUUAUCUUGAGUCAUUAUGAAGUGGUUAGAAUGUGUAGUGUAGCGGUGAAAUGCAUAGAUAUUACACAGAAUACCGAUUGCGAAGGCAGAUCACUAAUAAUGUACUGACACUGAGGGACGAAAGCGUGGGGAGCGAACAGGAUUAGAUACCCUGGUAGUCC
RNAcentral lists this ribosomal RNA (229 nucleotides) under uncultured bacterium. Its description in RNAcentral is "partial 16S ribosomal RNA". It matches the Rfam family "Bacterial small subunit ribosomal RNA", at positions 568 to 796 of the family's 1533-position model. The record is from RNAcentral.